This is a non-coding RNA of Zonotrichia albicollis (white-throated sparrow), 275 nucleotides long. NCBI's taxonomy places the organism in Eukaryota, Metazoa, Chordata, Aves, Passeriformes, Passerellidae. The record is from RefSeq and is a predicted model, not a curated record.
GGAGAUCCACCAGGCCUGUCGCUACGGGCACGUGCAGCACCUGGAGCAUCUCCUGUUCUACGGAGCCGACAUGGCGGCGCAGAACGCCUCAGGAAACACCGCCCUGCACAUCUGCGCCCUCUACAACCAGGAAAGCUGUGCCAGGGUUCUCCUCUUCCGAGGCGCCAGCAAGGAAAUCCGGAAUUACAACAGCCAGACGGCGUUCCAGGUGGCCAUCAUUGCAGGGAAUUUUGAGCUGGCGGAAAUCAUCAAAACCCACAAAGAGUCCGAUGUUG